UACGAAGGGGGCUAGCGUUGCUCGGAAUCACUGGGCGUAAAGGGUGCGUAGGCGGGUUUUUAAGUCAGAGGUGAAAUCCUGGAGCUCAACUCCAGAACUGCCUUUGAUACUGAAAGUCUUGAGUAUGGGAGAGGUGAGUGGAACUGCGAGUGUAGAGGUGAAAUUCGUAGAUAUUCGCAAGAACACCAGUGGCGAAGGCGGCUCACUGGCCCAUAACUGACACUCAGGGACGAAAGCUAGGGGAGCGAAUGGG
RNAcentral lists this ribosomal RNA (253 nucleotides) under uncultured bacterium. RNAcentral's name for it is "partial 16S ribosomal RNA". It matches the Rfam family "Bacterial small subunit ribosomal RNA", at positions 524 to 776 of the family's 1533-position model. The record is from RNAcentral.